Molecule: ribosomal RNA, 434 nt
Filed under: uncultured bacterium
Lineage: Bacteria
Description: partial 16S ribosomal RNA
Rfam family: Bacterial small subunit ribosomal RNA
Source: RNAcentral
AGAGAACGCUGGCGGCAGGCCUAACACAUGCAAGUCGAACGAACCUUUCGGGGUUAGUGGCGGACGGGUGAGUAACACGUGGGAACGUGCCUUUAGGUUCGGAAUAACUCAGGGAAACUUGUGCUAAUACCGAAUGUGCCCUUCGGGGGAAAGAUUUAUCGCCUUUAGAGCGGCCCGCGUCUGAUUAGCUAGUUGGUUGAGGUAAUGGCUCACCAAGGCGACGAUCAGUAGCUGGUCUGAGAGGAUGAUCAGCCACAUUGGGACUGAGACACGGCCCAAACUCCUACGGGAAGCAGCAGUGGGGAAUCUUGCGCAAUGGGCGAAAGCCUGACGCAGCCAUGCCGCGUGAAUGAUGAAGGUCUUAGGAUUGUAAAAUUCUUUCACCGGGGACGAUAAUGACGGUACCCGGAGAAGAAGCCCCGGCUAACUUCGUG